AACUUUCAACAACGGAUCUCUUGGCUCUCGCAUCGAUGAAGAACGCAGCGAAAUGCGAUAAGUAAUGUGAAUUGCAGAAUUCAGUGAAUCAUCGAAUCUUUGAACGCACAUUGCGCCUCUUGGUAUUCCUUGAGGCAUGCCUGUUCGAGCGUC
This 153-nucleotide ribosomal RNA is filed under the name Tuber lyonii. RNAcentral describes it as "5.8S ribosomal RNA". It matches the Rfam family "5.8S ribosomal RNA". Rfam says of the family: 5.8S ribosomal RNA (5.8S rRNA) is a component of the large subunit of the eukaryotic ribosome. It is transcribed by RNA polymerase I as part of the 45S precursor that also contains 18S and 28S rRNA. Functionally, it is thought that 5.8S rRNA may be involved in ribosome translocation. The record is from RNAcentral. Lineage: Eukaryota; Fungi; Ascomycota; Pezizomycetes; Pezizales; Tuberaceae.